Panicum virgatum (switchgrass) is the source of this 1018-nucleotide long non-coding RNA. RefSeq lists it as uncharacterized. Lineage: Eukaryota; Viridiplantae; Streptophyta; Magnoliopsida; Poales; Poaceae. The transcript is spliced from 2 exons. The record is from RefSeq and is a predicted model, not a curated record.
UUCAUAAUUCAGAGUUAAGACGAGAUGAUGAUGUUUGAGUUGUGUGGCCCGCAGUUGCUGGUGUGUGCAACAUACAGCUUCUUCUUCUCCAUCUCCUGUGGCUGUUGCCACCCGAUGCGAAGAUGGUCCAUGCCUCCUGUAAUGCAGGUUCUUGUUGGCAGCAGAGUUUCAGACAAGAAAUAUCCCAGUCUACGCAUGCUGGCCGUACCCUGCAUGUGCUGCAACUGGAAUGGAGAGCCGACGGCAAGUUCACCGUUGUCCUACUGUUGGGUGAAUGCUCAAGGACCGACCCUAAUCUCACCAUUCGCUGUUCUGCUCCUUUUGAGUGAAUGCUCAAGCUGGGUUCCGAAGCAGACUGCAAUACCACCAAGAAUGGUGCGUGAAAUCGCCCAUGCUGCGUGAAUGUUUCUUCUUCAAAAGUCAGCACGCUGGUACCCCGCUCUUAUAAAGUUUUAACAUUUUGAGCUGAUCAUAACCUUCAUGCAAUCUAAUGCCACUAGAUUAGUUGUCAUAAUAUAUAGUCGGAGAAACCUUCUAAGCAAAGGCUUCAUACACACGGCUGCGUCAUCGCCUCAUCGAUCAUCAGGCCCAGCUCGCGCCUGUGUCUGAUCUGAUCGACCCAUGAUUACAUGCAGAUGGGGAUUGGAUCAGAAAGGUCAAAGAGACAGCCAACAAAUCAUGAAAGGGUCUCCGGUCCCUUCCCUGACGUGCCGGGCAGUCCCCUGCUCCGACAGAGACUACGGCAGCGUCCAUUCAAACCACGCCGGCUAAAGCAGCGUCACCGACACUUGUUCCCCUGCCACCACAUCCAACACAUACUGAAAUUUGAGGCACAAUCUUUCAAAAAAAAGUUUUUUUUUCGAGGCACAGCAUCAGCCUCUUCCCUAAUCCUCGCUCCCUGUUGACCAAAAUUUGUUAUUUUGUUCAUGUUGUUUCUCUCUUGCAAUUUCCAUAAACCGCACUAGCUUAAUGAUUGGUCACACGCACAUGAUGUAUUGAUGUUAGAAAUUUUUUGCCA